CUACAGAGGGUGCGAGCGUUAAUCGGAUUUACGGGGCGUAAAGCGUGCGUAGGCGGCUUCUUAAGUCGGAUGUGAAAUCCCUGAGCUUAACUUAGGAAUUGCAUUCGAUACUGGGAAGCUAGAGUAUGGGAGAGGAUGGUAGAAUUCCAGGUGUAGCGGUGAAAUGCGUAGAGAUCUGGAGGAAUACCGAUGGCGAAGGCAGCCAUCUGGCCUAAUACUGACGCUGAGGUACGAAAGCAUGGGGAGCAAACAGGAUUAGAUACCCUAGUAGUCC
This 274-nucleotide ribosomal RNA is filed under the name uncultured bacterium. RNAcentral's name for it is "partial 16S ribosomal RNA". It matches the Rfam family "Bacterial small subunit ribosomal RNA", at positions 523 to 796 of the family's 1533-position model. The record is from RNAcentral.